AGCUGAGCUACGGCCCCUAAAUCAGAAUAAAGCGUUUAAAACGAUCAAAAGAGGGAUUACAAAAUCUAUAUAACUCAAAGCGAUAUGAUUGAACCGAUAGUUUCAUAUAGGCAUUGACGUCUAUGAGCAUUUGGAAUUUAUAUCAACCAAAUGGACGCUGUAAAAAUCACUUUGCAAGGAAUUUUGACUCCUUAGUAUUUAGCAUUUGAACUGUUUUUUUGCCAUUAAUUUGCUUUAACUUUGGAUUACUCACACAAAAGCAAUAAGCCUGCCAAUUUUGAUAAGCUUUUUAGAAGCAAUCUUUUUAGAAGUACUUAUUUUUUAAAAGCACUUAUGAAAGUAAUGGAUAAACUGGUGGGCCUGGGAGGACUUGAACCUCCGACCUCACGCUUAUCAAGCGCGCGCUCUAACCAACUGAGCUACAAGCCCUCCGGGAUAAACCGGAAAACCUUCCCCGGCAUCCUCUUAUAAAACGCUUAAAUUUUAUCAAGGAAAGCGUUUUUCAAAGCCCACGGUGG
This 518-nucleotide unclassified non-coding RNA is filed under the name uncultured Bartonella sp. RNAcentral describes it as "partial 16S-23S ribosomal RNA intergenic spacer". Lineage: Bacteria; Pseudomonadati; Pseudomonadota; Alphaproteobacteria; Hyphomicrobiales; Bartonellaceae. The record is from RNAcentral.